AUUGAACGCUGGCGGAAUGCUUUACACAUGCAAGUCGAACGGCAGCACGAGGGCAACCUUGGUGGCGAGUGGCGAACGGGUGAGUAAUACAUCGGAACGUGCCCAGUCGUGGGGGAUAACGUAGCGAAAGCUACGCUAAUACCGCGUACGAUCUAUGGAUGAAAGCGGGGGACCGUAAGGCCUCGCGCGAUUGGAGCGGCCGAUGGCAGAUUAGGUAGUUGGUGGGGUAAAGGCUCACCAAGCCUGCGAUCUGUAGCUGGUCUGAGAGGACGACCAGCCACACUGGAACUGAGACACGGUCCAGACUCCUACGGGAGGCAGCAGUGGGGAAUUUUGGACAAUGGGCGCAAGCCUGAUCCAGCCAUUCCGCGUGCAGGAUGAA
This 382-nucleotide ribosomal RNA is filed under the name uncultured bacterium. RNAcentral describes it as "bacterial SSU rRNA". It matches the Rfam family "Bacterial small subunit ribosomal RNA", at positions 30 to 412 of the family's 1533-position model. The record is from RNAcentral.